CCUCUGCCCCUCUCCCUGCUUGUGCUCUCUCUUUCUCUCUGUCUCAAAUGAAGAAAUAAAAAUCUUAAGAAAAGAAGCAGACAUUCCAGUAGGAGAAUAGGACAAUAUACAAUAGACCAUGGAAAAUCAAUGAUAUGUUAGCAGGUAAAACGUUACGACAAUGAAAAGCAGCAGGUAAAGGGUCUGAGUGGUAUCAGAUCUAGGGUGAGAGGUUUAAAAGGAGGUCAGGGAAGGCCUCCAGAGGGUCAUGUGUGAGCCAAGAUACAAAGGAGGCAAUGGAGGGGGCCAAGUGAAUAGGAAAAGAGUUUCCAGGCAGAGCAAACAGUAAGUCCAAAGGCCCUGGGGCAGGAGACUGCAUGGAAGUAUUCAAGCCCCAGCCAAGGAGGCCAGUGUGGCUGGAGAUUGGUCAGGGGGGCCAUGGGAGGGCAGAUCUCAUAGGACCUUGUUGGCCAUGAUGUGGACUGUGCCUUGGAUUCCAGAAAGGGCCAGGAAGGAGUCUGAGCCGAGGAAGGGCCUAGUGUGAUUUAGGGGCGGAAUGUGAAUAGGCUGUGGGGUGUGAGCACAGAAGCAGGGCAAUCCGUGGGGCGGCAGUGACUGCACUGGUCUAGGCGAGAGAUUGAGGAUGGCUCAGGCUAGCCUGGUGAAUGUGAAGGUGGUGGGCAACUCCCAGAAGCUGGAGCCAACGGGACUUGCCGUGGGCCCAGGUCACCCUGAGGCUUUGGGCCUGAGUCAUCUGUUAGGAUCAGCUGGGUCAGAGGGAGCGUGGCAAGAGCCAUCCCAGCUGGCCUGGCCAUGGGGCAGGUGCUCUGACGGGGGCCCCGCCUGGCACACUGGGCACGCAGAAGAGGAAGCCCUGCCCCAGGAGGAAGUGGCAGGCUGCGGUGGAGGCAGGUGCAGCCAAGGUGAGGCCCAUGCUGCUGCACCCCCGGGUGUGCCAGGCCCCCCCCCCCAGAGCUCUGGGGACAGGACGAAGGGGGCAGGAACGGGCAGGUGUGGGGGCCACUGGCCCAAGAGAGCUCCCUUUGGGGCAGGGGCCAAGGGGCUGAGGUGUGAGGGUGCCAGUCCUCUUGGGACAGGGAGCGCCCUGGCAGGGGUGUCAGCAUGCCCAGCCCACAUCUGGUACUGCCCCCAAUCCCAGUCUCUCACUGACCUGAAACUGGGCUCUGUGACUGUUUCUCCCCAGACUUUCCCUGAUGACAGGUGUGAGGCCUCCAGGGCAGUGGUGGGGUGGGGGUGGUGGGGGAAUGGAAAGAGGAAGGAUUGAAGGGGCGGUCUGCAAACUGCCUAUGCAAAUGGCCUCUGACUCAGUGCACCCCCGCAACCCUCGCUCCAGGCCUGGUGGGGGCGAGGGAGGGGGCUACCAGGUUUUUUCUUAAUUCUCACUUCCUCUGUUCUCUGAGCCGAUGCGGGAAGGGGCUGUGAGCCCUAAGCAUCCUUUCCUGCAGCCGCUGCCCAGUCUGCCAGCCAGCCCCUCUGGAGAAGCCCCCGCUCCCUGUCAUGGGCCCCUGCUGUGGCGCCCUGCACCCCCUGUCUCUCCUGGUGCAGGCUGCCGUGCUGGCCGUGGUCCUGGCCCCGGGCGCCCUGCCUCCCUUCCUGCCCUGUGAGCUCCAGCCCCACGGCCUGGUGGACUGCAACUGGCUGUUCCUCAAGUCUGUGCCCCGCUUCUCGGCGGCAGCGCCCCGCGGGAACAUCACCAGCCUCUCCCUCUACUCCAACCGCAUCCACCACCUCCACGACUCCGACUUUGUCCACCUGUCCAGCCUGCGGCGUCUCAACCUCAAGUGGAACUGCCCCCCCGCCGGCCUCAGCCCCAUGCACUUCCCCUGCCACAUGACCAUCGAGCCCAACACCUUCCUGGCCGUGCCCACCCUGGAGGACCUGAACCUGAGCUACAACGGCAUCACUACUGUGCCCGCCCUGCCCAGUUCCCUCGUGUCCCUGUCCCUGAGCCGCACCAACAUCCUGGUGCUGGACCCUGCCCACCUUGCAGGCCUGCACGCCCUGCGCUUCCUCUUCCUGGAUGGCAACUGCUACUACAAGAACCCCUGCCGACAGGCCCUGCACGUGGCCCCGGGCGCCCUCCUGGGCCUGGGCAACCUCACACACCUGUCGCUCAAGUACAACAACCUGACCGUGGUGCCCCGCCUUCUGCCCCCCAGCCUGGAGUACCUGCUCUUGUCCUACAACCACAUCAUCACCCUGGCCCCCGAUGACCUGGCCAAUCUGACGGCCCUGCGCGUGCUUGACGUGGGGGGGAACUGUCGCCGCUGUGACCACGCCCGCAACCCCUGCAGGGAGUGCCCCCACGGCUUCCCCAAGCUGCACCCUGACACCUUCAGCCAUCUGAGCCGCCUUGAAGGCCUGGUGUUGAAGGACAGCUCUCUCCACAGCCUGAACCCCAGGUGGUUCCUCGGCCUGGGCAACCUCCUGGUGCUGGACCUGAGCGAGAACUUCCUGUACAGCUGCAUCACCAAAACCAAAGCCUUCCAUGGCCUGGCCCGGCUGCGCAGACUCAACCUGUCCUUCAAUUACCACAAGAAGGUGUCCUUCGCCCACCUGCAUCUGGCACCCUCCUUCGGGAGCCUGCUGUCCCUGCAGGAGCUGGACAUGCAUGGCAUCUUCUUCCGCUCGCUCAGCGAGACCACGCUCCGGCCGUUGGCCCACCUGCCCAUGCUCCAGCGUCUGCAUCUGCAGUUGAACUUCAUCAACCAGGCCCAGCUUGGCAUCUUCGGGGCCUUCCCGGGCCUGCGCUACGUGGACCUGUCAGACAACCGCAUUAGCGGAGCUGCAGGGUGGGCGGCGGGGGCCACGGGGGAGGCGGGCGGGGUGGAGAAAGUCUGGUGGCUGUCCAGGGACCUGGCUGCGGGCCCACCGGGCACCCCGAGCUCUGAGGACUUCAUGCCAAGCUGCAGGACCCUCAACUUCACCUUGGACCUGUCGCGGAACAACGUAGUGACGAUCCAGCCGGAGAUGUUUGCCCAGCUCUCGCACCUGCAGUGCCUGUGCCUGAGCCACAACAGCAUCUCUCAGGCGGUCAACGGCUCACAGUUCGUGCCGCUGAGCAGCCUGCGGGUGCUGGACCUGUCCCACAACAAGCUGGACCUGUACCAUGGGCGCUCCUUCACCGAGCUGCCGCGGCUGGAGGCCCUGGACCUCAGCUACAACAGCCAGCCCUUCGGCAUGCGCGGCGUGGGCCACAACCUCAGCUUUGUGGCGCAGCUGCCGGCCCUGCGCUUCCUCAGCCUGGCGCACAACGCCAUCCACAGCCGCGUGUCCCAGCAGCUCCGCAGCACCUCGCUGUGGGCCCUGGACUUCAGCGGCAAUGCCCUGAGCCAGAUGUGGGCGGAGGGGGACCUCUACCUGCACUUCUUCCAAGGCCUGAGGAACCUGGUCCGGCUGGACCUGUCCCAGAAUCGCCUGCACACCCUCCUGCCCCGCAACCUGGACAACCUCCCCAAGGGCCUGCGGCUGCUGCGUCUUCGUGACAACUACCUGGCUUUCUUCAACUGGAGCAGCCUGGCCCUCCUCCCCAUGCUGGAGGCCCUGGACCUGGCGGGGAACCAGCUGAAGGCCCUGAGCAACGGCAGCUUGCCGAACGGCACCCGGCUCCAGAGGCUGGACCUCAGCAGCAACAGCAUCGGCUUCGUGGUCCCCGGCUUUUUCGCCCUGGCCACGAGGCUGAGAGAGCUCAACCUCAGCGCCAAUGCCCUCAAGACGGUGGAGCCCUCCUGGUUUGGCUCCGUGGCAGGCGCCCUGAAAGUCCUAGAUGUGACCGCCAACCCGUUGCACUGUGCCUGUGGGGCGGCCUUUGUGGACUUCUUGCUGGAGGUGCAGGCCGCAGUGCCCAGGCUGCCCAGCCACGUCCGGUGUGGCAGCCCCGGCCAGCUCCAGGGCCACAGCAUCUUCGAGCAGGACCUGCGCCUCUGCCUGGACGAGGCCCUCUCCUGGGACUGCUUCGGCCUCUCGCUGCUGGCUGUGGCCCUGAGCCUGGCUGUGCCCAUGCUGCACCACCUGUGUGGCUGGGACCUCUGGUACUGCUUCCACCUGUGCCUGGCCUGGCUGCCGUGGCGCGGGCGACAGCGGGGUGCUGCCGCCCUGCCCUAUGAUGCCUUCGUGGUCUUCGACAAGGAGCAGAGCUCGGUGGCCGACUGGGUGUACAACGAGCUGCGGGUCCAGCUGGAGGAGCGCCGCGGGCGCCGGGCGCUGCGCCUGUGCCUGGAGGAACGUGACUGGCUGCCCGGCAAAACGCUCUUUGAGAACCUGUGGGCCUCGGUCUACAGCAGCUGCAAGACGGUGUUCGUGCUGGCCCACACGGACCGCCUCAGCGGCCUCCUGCGUGCCAGCUUCCUGCUGGCCCAGCAGCGCCUGCUGGAGGACCGCAAGGACGUGGUGGUGCUGGUGAUCCUGCGCCCCGAUGCGCACCGCUCCCGCUACGUGCGCCUGCGUCAGCGCCUGUGCCGCCAGAGCGUCCUCCUGUGGCCCCGGCAGCCCAGCGGCCAGCGCGCCUUCUGGGCCCAGCUGGGCACCGCCCUGACCAGGGACAACCGCCACUUCUACAACCGGAACUUCUGCCGUGGCCCCACGACGGCCGAAUAGCCCGGGGACGGCCCAGGCCGCCCCGCCACGCCACUGCCCGGCCUCCCCUGCUCCCCACCGGGCAUGUAGCAGGCGCUCAAUAAGCAGACGCCCCUCGGAGGCCCAACGGCUAACCCUGAGCUCACUGGAGGCGUGAGCGGGAGGCCAGAAGGGGGACUGCGCCAGGCUUUCCUGCCUGCAGUGAGGAGGGACAAGAGGUGAUUUGGGAGAAAUUGCCAAGCAGGAGAAGCGGGGGCCCAGACACUGCAGGUCUGCAGGGCAGGGAAGCUGCUGAGGACAGUUGUGUUGACGAGCAUCUUCUCAGGGGAGUCUGAGGAAGGUCCCUGAAUGUGGUCUCGGUCCUUCGCAGACAGCAGGCUGGGUCUCCCUGUCCCAUCCAGGCCCCUCCUCACACGCCCUCCCCUCCCCAUCCCCCGCCGCUCCAGGCAGCCCAGGGCAGGCUGGGUCGUAUACCCGCCUCAGGAUCUGCCUCCCACACCCGCACGCCUGAAAAUGCCUUGAGGGCAGAGAACUGGCAGGCCUGCUUCAUUCCUGGCCCCCAGCAAAAUCCUGAGAGGCAGCGGCCCUGGUGAGUGUUCAUUCCGGCGGGGGAAAGCGUUGUGCGGAGUUCAGGGGGCCGUUUGCGCCAUCUGGUGGUCAUGCCUGUGCUGUGCCCAGGAGGCGGGCCCGGGGUUGGGGCGAAGCCUCUAAGUAGCUCCCGGCAGCAGGGAGCUGGGAGCCACAGAGAUGCUAGAGUGGGCUCACAAUCCGUCCCUUUCCGUUUUCACCUAGAAUGGAUACUGGGUCUCUCUGUACUGACAUCAAAGGGACACCUGGGUGAGCCACCACCUGGCUACAAAGGUGGGGCCUGCCUUCCCGGCCCCUGCAUUUCACCGCGGAUUGCCCUUAGGUGGGAGAGAGCCUCAUCUGAUGAGGGUGGAGCACGUGUGUACAUUUCUAGUUCUGAUAUCCAGCGUAGGGUUCCAGACACUGCUUGGAGCACCAAUGACUGGUGUUUGGAGACAGCCGAGUGUGUGGGGAGUUGUGGGUCACGUCAGGCCUGGAGCCUUGGCGGUUCCUUUGUCCUGGACUACUGCCUCACUGUCCCCACAACUGAACCUGCCCUCUGAGGAGCAGAGGAGACGUGUGCAGCCGGACAGCUGACGCUGGGGCCCGGGGUGGCCGGAGAGUGGAACCAGCUCGGCUGGCUCAGGACAGCUGGGGGCCGGCCCAGCCACUUCAGGCCUCUGCGGUGGAAGGAUACUCUCAUGCUCCGGGCAUCUAUACAUUCUUGGAAAACUUCUAUCACAUCAUACAUUUCCAUACUCAAGUCCUUAUUAUGAUGAGGGAGCAGAAGGCUAGCUGAAGACAAAGCACAAGCUGAUACCCUGCAACCUCCCUGCACCCCCACUCCUGGCAGGACAGGUGUGUGACACUCUUCCAGCAAUCUCCCAACUAUCUUAAUGCCUUGCCAGAGGGAAAAACAACCUUAGCUUGAUGAUAGCCAGGCCUCUAGUAUCCUAAGGGUCUUCUUUAACAUAUGAAAAUCCUUUUGAAACCUCCCUUUUCCGGGGCACUUGGGUGGCUCAGUCAUUGGGCUU
This is a non-coding RNA of Callorhinus ursinus (northern fur seal), 6176 nucleotides long. The record is from RefSeq and is a predicted model, not a curated record. NCBI's taxonomy places the organism in Eukaryota, Metazoa, Chordata, Mammalia, Carnivora, Otariidae.